This 600-nucleotide ribosomal RNA is filed under the name Bacillus thuringiensis. RNAcentral's name for it is "bacterial SSU rRNA". It matches the Rfam family "Bacterial small subunit ribosomal RNA", at positions 781 to 1370 of the family's 1533-position model. Lineage: Bacteria; Bacillati; Bacillota; Bacilli; Caryophanales; Bacillaceae. The record is from RNAcentral.
GAUACCCUGGUAGUCCACGCCGUAAACGAUGAGUGCUAAGUGUUAGAGGGUUUCCGCCCUUUAGUGCUGCAAGUUUAACGCAUUAAGCACUCCGCCUGGGGAGUACGGCCGCAAGAUUGAAACUCAAAGGAAUUGACGGGGGCCCGCACAAGCGGUGGAGCAUGUGGUUUAANUUCGAAGCAACGCGAAGAACCUUACCAGGUCUUGACAUCCUCUGACAACCCUAGAGAUAGGGCUUUUUCCUUCGGGAACAGAGUGACAGGUGGUGCAUGGUUGUCGUCAGCUCGUGUCGUGAGAUGUUGGGUUAAGUCCCGCAACGAGCGCAACCCUUGAUCUUAGUUGCCAUCAUUNAGUUGGGCAUCUCUAAGGUGACUGCCGGUGACAAACCGGAGGAAGGUGGGGAUGACGUCAAAUCAUCAUGCCCCUUAUGACCUGGGCUACACACGUGCUACAAUGGACAGGUACAAAGAGGCUGCGAGACCGCNGAAGGUGGAGCCUAAUCCUCACUAAAUCCGUUCUCAGUUCGGAUCUGUCAGUCUGCAACUCGCCUACAUGAAGCUGAAUCGCUAGUAAUCGCGAUCACUACACCCGGUGAUUAUU